This 1107-nucleotide long non-coding RNA is filed under the name Pan troglodytes (chimpanzee). RNAcentral's name for it is "long non-coding RNA NONPTRT017679". Lineage: Eukaryota; Metazoa; Chordata; Mammalia; Primates; Hominidae. The record is from RNAcentral.
CCGGCCCACGUGCCGCCCACCGGCGCCUUGACGGCAGGGAGAGGUCGAGCUUCCAGGGAGCGGGCGCCCGGCGCGGGGCUCCCAGCCUGUCUGUACCUGGUCGAGACACCCCGUGCCAGAGGCGGAACAUGUAUGAAAUGCCAGGUGCCCAGAGGACCCAGGCAGUCCGUCAUUCACAUACCAACCCACGUGCAGGCUUCAAUUCAACGUUGAAGCCAUUUGGGCCUGGGCUUUUUUGAUGACUUAUUUGAUUCAUAGUUCUUUGGUUACUAAUUGAGUCUGUUGACUUGUUAUAGGUCUGUUGAGAUUGUCUAUUUUUUCUUGAGUCAGCCGUCUGAAAAGAACACGAGGUGGACAGGGCAGAGCGGUCAAGGAAAGCCAUAGGAGGGCACUUAUUUGAGCAAAGACCGGCGGGACGUGGGCGUCGAGGGUAAGGAUAUCUGCAGAAGUAGUGUCUUGAGCAAGGAGCACGGCAGACAGAGCCUCUGAGACACGAGAGCCUGGAGUGUAAGAAACACAGUAGAGGCCACUAAGUCGAGAACGCAGGAGCUGGAAGGACUGGUAGGAAAUGGGAGGUGGGGACAUGGAGGGAUGCGGACAGGUCCUGCACAGUCAGAACUGUGGCCCCUUCUCUGCAGGAAAUGGGCAGCCUUCGGAAGACUGAGCACACGGAAGGAUAUGACUAACCCUUUAAAAGGGUCAUUCUGACUCCUGGGUGAAGAACAGACUAGGAAGGGCUGAGAAGGAGGCAGGAGGCCAUCCACUGUCAUAUGGGAUGUGGAGUGUGACCCGGAAAGGUCAACUGCCCUGUCUAGAAGCUCCAAUACAAUAUUGACUAGAAGCGGCAAGAGUGGACAUCCUUGUCUUGCUCCUGAUUUCAGGGAGGAGGCAUCCAGUCUUUCACCUUUGGGUAUGAUGAUAGCUGUGGGUGCUUAAAAAAUAGGUUUUAUCAGGCUGGGCACAGUGGCUCACGCCUGUAAUCCCAACCCUUUGGGAGGUCGAGGCGGGCGGAUCACUUGAGGUCCAGAGUUUGAGACCAGCCUGGCCAACAUGGAGAAAUCCCAUCUCUACUAAAAAUACAAAAAGUUAGCUGAGGUUGGUGGCCGG